GCCUGGUGGUUCCUUGAAGCUGCUCAUCUGUGCUGUUCAUCAAGGUUGUAUUUCACAGGCAAAUAGUAACUGCUUCAGUUUAAUGCUUGGGGGUUGCCUACCUCUGUGACUUCCAAAGCCCGGCUGGAGAAACAUUC
Molecule: small nucleolar RNA, 137 nt
Organism: Ictalurus punctatus (channel catfish)
Lineage: Eukaryota; Metazoa; Chordata; Actinopteri; Siluriformes; Ictaluridae
Product: Small nucleolar RNA SNORA84
Source: Ensembl